GUGAUUGUAGCUCAGUUGGUUAGAGCGUUGGAUUGUGGUUCCAAAGGUCGGGGGUUCGAGACCCCUCAUUCACCCUA
RNAcentral lists this transfer RNA (77 nucleotides) under Flavobacterium zepuense. RNAcentral's name for it is "Flavobacterium sp. ZT4R6 tRNA-His". It matches the Rfam family "tRNA". From Rfam's summary of the family: Transfer RNA (tRNA) molecules are approximately 80 nucleotides in length. The record is from RNAcentral. Lineage: Bacteria; Pseudomonadati; Bacteroidota; Flavobacteriia; Flavobacteriales; Flavobacteriaceae.